AGAGUUUGAUCAUGGCUCAGGAUGAACGCUAGCGGCAGGCUUAAUACAUGCAAGUCGAGGGGCAGCAUGAGUAGCAAUACUUGAUGGCGACCGGCAAACGGGUGCGGAACACGUACAGAACCUUCCUUCGAGCGGGGAAUAGCCCGGAGAAAUCCGGAUUAAUACCCUAUAGUAAAUUGAAAAGGCAUCUUUUUAAUUUUAAAGAUUUAUCACUUGAAGAUGGCUGUGCGCCUGAUUAGGUAGUUGGCGGGGUAACGGCCCACCAAGCCUUCGAUCAGUAACUGGCGUGAGAGCGCGACCAGUCACACGGGCACUGAGACACGGGCCCGACUCCUACGGGAGGCAGC
This 347-nucleotide ribosomal RNA is filed under the name uncultured bacterium. Its description in RNAcentral is "bacterial SSU rRNA". It matches the Rfam family "Bacterial small subunit ribosomal RNA", at positions 8 to 352 of the family's 1533-position model. The record is from RNAcentral.